Molecule: non-coding RNA, 795 nt
Filed under: Grapholita dimorpha
Lineage: Eukaryota; Metazoa; Arthropoda; Insecta; Lepidoptera; Tortricidae
Source: RNAcentral
UGCAAAAAAAAAUUUAUAUAAAUAAAUUUUUUAUGAUUUAUAUAAUUUUUUUUAAAUUUAUUUUACAUAUAAAUUUUAGUGUGUAAUUUUAAUUAUUUUAAUAAUAAUUAAUUUUAAAAAGUAGUAAUUAACAUUAAAAAUUUAAGAAAUUAAGAUUUAGUAAUAUAAAAAUUAAUAACAAAUUUUGUGCCAGCAGUUGCGGUUAUACAAAAGUUAAAUUAAAUUUUAUUAGAUAUUAAUAAAUAAUUUAAAUAUUAAUUUAAAUAUAAAAUUAUUAAGUGAAAUUUUAAUUUAAUUAAAAAUUAAAAUUUAAUUAUGAAUUAAUAAAUUUUAUUAUAAACUAGGAUUAGAUACCCUAUUAUUAAAAAUUUAAAUAAAUAUACUAAAAUAGUAGAUAAUUAUUUAUUGAAACUUAAAUAAUUUGGCGGUAUUUUAGUUCAUUUAGAGGAAUCUGUUUAUUAAUUGAUAAUCCACGAAUAAUUUUACUUAAUUAAAAAUUUUGUAUAUCGUUGUUAAAAAAAUAUUUUUAAAAAAUUUUAAUAUUUUAAAAUUUAGAAUUAAAACUAAAUCAGAUCAAGAUGCAGAUUAUAAUUAAGAAUAUAAUGGAUUACAAUAAAUUUAUUUAUAUGAAUAUUUAGUUGAAAAAUUAAAUUGAAAGUGGAUUUAAAUGUAAUUUUAUUUAAUUUAAUAAAAUGAUUAAAAAUUAAAAUAUGUACAUAUUGCCCGUCGCUUUCAUUUAUAAAUUGAAAUAAGUCGUAACAAAGUAGAGGUACUGGAAAGUGUUUCUAGAAAGAA